CUGAACUCUGUUAAUUGUUUCUGACAGUCCUUAACAGGACAUUAAAUAAGCGGUUUACACCAUGUACACUUUGCUAUGUGUUAUGUGUAAGACGUGAAUGCUUGUGCAGUUAUAUGCUGUAAUGACUUCAUGAAUAUGUUUGUGGUUAUUUCUUCAAUUAGCUGAUAAACUUUUGGGUGCACUAAGAAAGUUUAUUUGUCCUGCUGUUCUGUCCAUGUAUGCUCAUUAAGUCUGGUUUUUUAGUGGAUUGACUUUGGCACCUUGAAAACUUCGUUUUUCAUCAAUUAUAUUGCAG
Molecule: unclassified non-coding RNA, 295 nt
Filed under: Hevea brasiliensis (rubber tree)
Lineage: Eukaryota; Viridiplantae; Streptophyta; Magnoliopsida; Malpighiales; Euphorbiaceae
Source: RNAcentral